This 253-nucleotide ribosomal RNA is filed under the name uncultured bacterium. Its description in RNAcentral is "partial 16S ribosomal RNA". It matches the Rfam family "Bacterial small subunit ribosomal RNA", at positions 524 to 776 of the family's 1533-position model. The record is from RNAcentral.
UACGUAGGGUGCAAGCGUUGUCCGGAAUUAUUGGGCGUAAAGAGCUCGUAGGCGGUCUGUCGCGUCGGAUGUGAAAACCCAGGGCUCAACCCUGGGCCUGCAUUCGAUACGGGCAGACUAGAGUUCGGUAGGGGAGACUGGAAUUCCUGGUGUAGCGGUGAAAUGCGCAGAUAUCAGGAGGAACACCGGUGGCGAAGGCGGCAUCCUGGACCAACACUGACGCUGAGGAGCGAAAGCGUGGGGAGCAAACAGG